GGGUUGUGAGGUUAAGCGACUAAGCGUACACGGUGGAUGCCCUGGCAGUCAGAGGCGAUGAAGGGCGUGCUAAUCUGCGAUAAGCGCCGGUAAGGUGAUAUGAACCGUUAUAACCGGCGAUACCCGAAUGGGGAAACCCAGUGUGACUCGUCACACUAUCAUUAACUGAAUCCAUAGGUUAAUGAGGCGAACCGGGGGAACUGAAACAUCUAAGUACCCCGAGGAAAAGAAAUCAACCGAGAUUCCCCCAGUAGCGGCGAGCGAACGGGGAGGAGCCCAGAGCCUGAAUCAGCAUGUGUGUUAGUGGAAGCGUCUGGAAAGGCGCGCGAUACAGGGUGACAGCCCCGUACACAAAAGCGCAUGUGCUGUGAGCUCGAUGAGUAGGGCGGGACACGUGGUAUCCUGUCUGAAUAUGGGGGGACCAUCCUCCAAGGCUAAAUACUCCUGACUGACCGAUAGUGAACCAGUACCGUGAGGGAAAGGCGAAAAGAACCCCGGCGAGGGGAGUGAAAAAGAACCUGAAACCGUGUACGUACAAGCAGUGGGAGCCCCACCACUAAGCCAGUGGUGAACUCCACAUACGCAUCCUUUGCUGAGGAUACGGUUAACGGAGCGAAAGCGACGUUCAACCUCAAAAGAAGCAGAGGGGGCUUAGUGGUGGGGUGACUGCGUACCUUUUGUAUAAUGGGUCAGCGACUUAUAUUCUGUAGCAAGGUUAACCGCAUAGGGGAGCCGGAGGGAAACCGAGUCUUAAUUGGGCGUUAAGUUGCAGGGUAUAGACCCGAAACCCGGUGAUCUAGCCAUGGGCAGGUUGAAGGUUGGGUAACACUAACUGGAGGACCGAACCGACUAAUGUUGAAAAAUUAGCGGAUGACCUGUGGCUGGGGGUGAAAGGCCAAUCAAACCGGGAGAUAGCUGGUUCUCCCCGAAAGCUAUUUAGGUAGCGCCUCGUGAAUUCAUCUCCGGGGGUAGAGCACUGUUUCGGCUAGGGGGCCAUCCCGGCUUACCAACCCGAUGCAAACUGCGAAUACCGGAGAAUGUUAUCACGGGAGACACACGGCGGGUGCUAACGUCCGUCGUGAAGAGGGAAACAACCCAGACCGCCAGCUAAGGUCCCAAAGUCAUGGUUAAGUGGGAAACGAUGUGGGAAGGCCCAGACAGCCAGGAUGUUGGCUUAGAAGCAGCCAUCAUUUAAAGAAAGCGUAAUAGCUCACUGGUCGAGUCGGCCUGCGCGGAAGAUGUAACGGGGCUAAACCAUGCACCGAAGCUGCGGCAGCGA
RNAcentral lists this ribosomal RNA (1279 nucleotides) under Salmonella enterica subsp. enterica. Its description in RNAcentral is "bacterial LSU rRNA". It matches the Rfam family "Bacterial large subunit ribosomal RNA", at positions 1 to 1211 of the family's 2925-position model. Lineage: Bacteria; Pseudomonadati; Pseudomonadota; Gammaproteobacteria; Enterobacterales; Enterobacteriaceae. The record is from RNAcentral.